AUGGUUGAUUAUCAAAUACUUUCAUUUGCAUAGAAAAGCAACUAUAUGACAUCCCAUAAACAAGAUGACUUCUAUUGUCAAGUUUGGAACCAACUCUGAAAGACCUGCAAAUGGCAGAGGCUAAUAUAAUUAGUCUGCCAGACRGCAUAAAUGAGGACAGACUGAAGGAAUUAAUCAACCAAAAAAAUAUUUUGCUGUCAAGUCUGGAAAAAAAUUCACAAGAUUUGCAACAAGCACAGGCUAUUGUAGUAGACCAAGACGACAAAUACAGAUUUUAUGAGAAAAAAAUACAGGACCUAACAGAAAAAAGAAAGCUUUUGCUUACCAGCCUGGAAUCGAAUUGGAGAGAUUUGCAACAGACUCAGGCUCUGGAUGCCAGCCAACUUCAUGGCAUGAAUGUAGGAAACAUAGUAAAGAAACUCAUCAAGGAAAGAGAGACUUUGGUUACUGAAAUAGAAGAAAAUCUAAAGAACCUUCAGGAAGUUGAGAAUGUGGUAACAAGCCAUUUAAUCACAGACAGAUUCAUUGAUAAUUGCUUUGGCAGCAAUUCUGAUUUUUUUGAAAGAAAAUCAGAGGUGACUGGAAAACAGCCUCUAAAUAGUAGAACUUUGCAGCUAGAAUGUAUUCUUUCAGCACUUCUACUUGAUCAAGACAGAAGCUUUGCACCUGCAGAGCCAACUUACGACAGCGAAACCACAUCACCUAUUCAUCAAUUGAUGCCAAGCAGAGUUGUAUCCAGUAUACAUUUUGACUUUUCUACACUUCCAGCCUUAGUACCAGAAGGGAGAGUUCAGAAGGCAUCAGAAAUUGAACUUCCUCAGAAGAGAAAGCUGGAAAAAAAAAUCAGACAUUUCUGA
This 857-nucleotide long non-coding RNA is filed under the name Apteryx rowi (Okarito brown kiwi). RNAcentral's name for it is "lncRNA (ENSARWG00000004157.1)". The record is from RNAcentral. Lineage: Eukaryota; Metazoa; Chordata; Aves; Apterygiformes; Apterygidae.